Molecule: ribosomal RNA, 492 nt
Filed under: uncultured bacterium
Lineage: Bacteria
Description: partial 16S ribosomal RNA
Rfam family: Bacterial small subunit ribosomal RNA
Source: RNAcentral
AGUGAACGCUGGCGGUAGGCCUAACACAUGCAAGUCGAACGGCAGCACAGUAAGAGCUUGCUCUUACGGGUUGCGAGUGGCGGACGGGUGAGGCAUACAUCGGAAUCUCCUUUUUCGUGGGGGCUAACGUAGGGAACCUUACGCUAAUACCGCAUACGACCUACGGCUGCAAGCAGGGGAUCUUCAGACCUUGCGCUAUUGAUUGAGCCGAUGUCGGAUUAGCUAGUUGGCGGGGUAAAGGCCCACCAAGGCGACGAUCCGUCGCUGGUCUGAGUGGAUGAUGAGCCACAUGGGAACGGGGACACGGUCCAGACUCCUACGGGAGGCAGCAGUGGGGAAUAUUGGACAAGGGGCGCAAGCCUGAUCCAGACAGACCGCGGGGGUGAAGAAGGCCUUCGGGUUUUAAAGCCCGUUUGUUGGGAAAGAAAAGCAGCAGGUUAAUACCCCGAUGUUCUGACGGUACCCAAAGAAUAAGCACCGGCUAACUUCGUG